This 535-nucleotide ribosomal RNA is filed under the name uncultured bacterium. RNAcentral describes it as "bacterial SSU rRNA". It matches the Rfam family "Bacterial small subunit ribosomal RNA", at positions 311 to 857 of the family's 1533-position model. The record is from RNAcentral.
CAUUGGGACUGAGAUACGGCCCAAACUCCUACGGGAGGCAGCAGUGGGAAUAUUGCACAAUGGGCGGAAGCCUGAUGCAGCAACGCCGCGUGCGGGAUGACGGCCUUCGGGUUGUAAACCGCUUUCAGCAGGGACGAAGCGCAAGUGACGGUACCUGCAGAAGAAGCACCGGCUAACUACGUGCCAGCAGCCGCGGUGAUACGUAGGGUGCGAGCGUUGUCCGGAUUUAUUGGGCGUAAAGAGCUUGUAGGCGGUUGGUUGCGUCGAAAGUGCAAACUCAGGGCUUAACUCUGAGCCUGCUUUCGAUACGGGCUGACUGGAGGAAGGUAGGGGAGAAUGGAAUUCCCGGUGGAGCGGUGGAAUGCGCAGAUAUCGGGAGGAACACCAGUGGCGAAGGCGGUUCUCUGGACCUUUCCUGACGCUGAGAAGCGAAAGCGUGGGGAGCAAACAGGCUUAGAUACCCUGGUAGUCCACGCUGUAAACGGUGGGUACUAGGUGUGGGGGACAUUCCACGUUCUCUGUGCCGUAGCUAACG